RNAcentral lists this ribosomal RNA (497 nucleotides) under uncultured bacterium. Its description in RNAcentral is "partial 16S ribosomal RNA". It matches the Rfam family "Bacterial small subunit ribosomal RNA", at positions 28 to 507 of the family's 1533-position model. The record is from RNAcentral.
GAUGAACGCUGGCGGCGUGCCUAAUACAUGCAAGUCGAGCGAACGGACGAGAAGCUUGCUUCUCUGAUGUUAGCGGCGGACGGGUGAGUAACGCGUGGAUAACCUACCUAUAAGACUGGGAUAACUUCGGGAAACCGGAGCUAAUACCGGAUAAUAUUUUGAACCGCAUGGUUCAAAAGUGAAAGGCGGUCUUGCUGUCACUUAUAGAUGGAUCCGCGCUGCAUUAGCUAGUUGGUAAGGUAACGGCUUACCAAGGCAACGAUGCAUAGCCGACCUGAGAGGGUGAUCGGCCACACUGGAACUGAGACACGGUCCAGACUCCUACGGGAGGCAGCAGUAGGGAAUCUUCCGCAAAGGGCGAAAGCCUGACGGAGCAACGCCGCGUGAGUGAUGAAGGUCUUCGGAUCGUAAAACUCUGUUAUUAGGGAAGAACAUAUGUGUAAGUAACUGUGCACAUCUUGACGGUACCUAAUCAGAAAGCCACGGCUAACUACGUG